UCUCAUCUGGUUAAUCUGAACGGGCAUAUUUUCUUUCUGCUCUACCUCAGGAGACCUCCUCCCCUGAGCGCCCCCCUCCCUCAGGAGACCUCCUCCCCGACCUCUCGUUUUCUCUACCGACGGCCGACGUGGUGGUGUACCGCCGCCGUCACGGCGCUGAAACCGGCGAGAUCCUGCGUCCCCAUCGUGGCCCAGAUUCCCUAUGCCACCAGUACACCGAACACCUCAAGGCGGCUGGUUUGCGCUACUAUUUUUGGGGGCGAUCGGGCGCAUCCUGAUGACACAGCGACACAUAUGUGGGUGUUAAGCCCAGGUCUUGAUCGGUUCUGGUGAGAAAAAAUUGUAUCCAGGAGAUCGGGAUAUGAUUUGGGGAUGAGGACUGUUGGGGAACAUUAGUUGCCGAAUCUUAUUCCAUAGUUUGUGGUGUUAGAUUUGCAGCCGGAGAAGAAAUAAAGGCCAUGACCUUGUGCGAGGAAAACCCUUUUCUGCAGGCUUGAUAAAUAAUUUAUAUCCUGAAUUGGGACUUCCUGUUUUAAACAGUAAUUUAUGUUUGACUACUUGCUGGUACAAUGUAGUAUGUUUGUACUAAUACAUGUUGUUGUUGAUUUCGACUCGCAGAUUCGUAUGUGAAAGGAGGUGCAUGGGAGAAAAGAUGCCAGAGUUGCGUAGUGGAGUGUGAUAAUAUAUUCAAGUCAAGGAAAGUUGUGGUGACCAACACGAUUAUCCAUCACGUCCAGCGGGGACGCUGCAAGAAUCAUGGCCCCCAUGUGUGCUAUUGUCCAACACAGCCGCUGCCCUUUCACACUACCUCCACGCCGGUUGUGUUUUCCCUACAAGAAUGGAUGCCUUGGUGUCUGCAUUUUAUUCCGAGGAGAAAACACAUCCAGAGAAAAAACAAGAAUGAGUUGUCUAACUAGGUUAGCUAUCCACCUAUGUAUUUCUCUUUUUAUUCUAUGUAUUCAUUACUCAUUUCAGUUACUCUUCAUCUCUUAAAUUAUUAUAGAAACAAAUAUCUUUUUGGGCUGUUGUGUGCAAAUCAUAUUUGAAGUUUCCAUGCACAACGAGGACGAUUAUGUGCCUCUUUUAAGUCAUCCACGGUCAGAUUCAUUCUUGUCUUGGCUCUUACUUGGGCAAAAACUGGAAUAUCCUCUUUGGGAAUGAUGUUAGUCAGAAACUCAAUAUUAAUUUUGCACUUUAAGAAAGAGUCAAGUUUGUUAUGUAGCAUUAUAUUUGGCUCAGAUAGUUCUUGGAUGCCUUCCACGGGUCGAUGGGACGUUUUGCUCACCUUGCAAAAGUAAAGCAAUGAAGAAAUUUGUAAGGUGGGAACACUCGAAUCUCAGAGGUAAGUGUGCCAUGCUCUCCCUCUUGCGAUAUCGAAACUGGUUGCUCAUGUGAUUUUAGAAAAUUAUAAUUCAAGCAUGGAUGAAGCUUUGGCAUAAAGGAUGCCACUUAUAAGCUACAAAGCAGGAGGGCUUAAUUGCUUAACUAACAAGGUUUAUUUAUACAUCUUAAGGUGGAUUCAACUUACAAACCUCACAGAAUGAUCCCCAGCUGCUAGAGGUUUAAUUCAUCAGAUAUUUCCCUAACUGAUCGGCGCUAAAUUUAUGUUAAUCUAUCAUUACAAAAUGCUUUCUUCUUCUUUUUUUCCAGUCUGCAUGCUUUGUUAAUUUAUGACUUUUCCAAGAUGGCAAGAGCCUCUAACUUUUCUAAUUGCUCUCAUGGUUGCUUUCCCUUUUGACGAAUCGUAUGUGUGAUGUGUCUUAUCAUUCUCAAUCUUCUUAUAUCACAUUUUUUGUGACUCGGCUGUUGCAUCCUGGAAAGUUUGUGUAAACUGAGCUAACCAUUGAUAUAUAUAUAUAUAUAUAUAUAUAUAUAUAACAAAUUUUUCCUACUACCGGGUGUAGUUACUCCCACUUUUGUUUCAUACGUUCUAGGUAGUAUCUAUCAUAUUGAAGAGUAUGUACGCGUAGUAUGUAGUAUAUAAAAAUGUUUAGGUAGUAUGUAUACUACCUUUUUGGUAGUAUGUACCAUAUUUUGUGCAUACUCUAUUUAAUGUACAAAUAUGUACGUAUUUCACAAAUACAAUAAAACUAUGAGCUCACUUGCAAUUUUUUCAUAUAACUCGCUUUGGAGUAUCUUAGAUAUAGUAUAUGAACACACUAAAAAUAAUAUAUUAGAGUAUAUACUACCACAUGGUAGUAUAUGAGAAAUGGGUGUAGCUACACCCGGUAGUAGGAUGCAUUUUCCCUAUAUAUAUAUAUAUAUAUAUAUAUAUAUAUAUAUAUAUAUAUCGUACAUAGCUGAGGCGAUUCUACGUGUUGGCUGUGGGGUCAUCUGACCCACAGCCUUUUGCAUAAAACAGCCUAAAACACUGUAUACUUACUAUUCAUUGUGAAGAUUUUUUUCGAAAAAUUAGCUAUGACCCCACAGAUACUUGAGGCUGGCUUCUCCGCUGGUACAUAGUUACUUUAAGCCUCCCUGCAAAAAACAAACAACAGUUACUUUAAGCCAUAUGCAAGCCAUUCUUACAUGGAAUGUUCUGGUUUUAUCACUUUGUAUUGUCCAUCGAUGAAUUGAACCAUGCAAAUGUCUUCAGAUUGUUUCAUGGGCGAGCCCAAGUUCAUGACUAACAUGUUGUCCCACUAGCACAUCAUGAGCCCACUCAUAAGAAAAUAUUAAGCCUUUGUGAGAAAUACCAGAGCACAUUUACAAGUGAACUACUUGUUGCUCUUCGCUUUACUGGUCAUGUAGAAACAACUCUCUUUGGUCUGACUCUCUUAUGCCUAGAAACUAUUUCAGCCAUGUGUAGGAUUACCAGUAAGGGUAGGGGCACAAUAGUUCUUUUUAUUUCAAUAGAAGUCAUAUGAGCUACGAUCAUCUUUGUUUGUUUUUGAAAGAUCUAAUAUAAUAGUGAUUAGUAAAUAUGCAUGUCUUUUCAGAUGAGAUUGCUUGAUGCUAUAUAGUUUUACUCUCUUAAUGUAGACUGGAUGCAUACUUUCAUCAGUUGAACCAAUUACUCAUGGAAGGAAUAAAAGAUCCAAGCUAGGAAGGCAUGUUUCAAAGGCACAAGCAUAAGUCUUGGAAUAAUUGCUAUUGGUGGUUAAAAAAUUCAUGUAUGUCGAUGUGAUGUCUAUGAAAGAUGUUAAAUCUGCUUGAUGUAUAUGUCUAAUCUUUAUGUUGGCGAACAGGUGGAUGUUGACUACAUUAACAUUUCCUUGUGUUGCCUUAUUAGUGUAUGCCAAAAGAUGCAAAUCGUGUGGAAAUGCAAGAACAUGAGCUUCUGUUCUUUGCUUU
Molecule: long non-coding RNA, 3294 nt
Organism: Triticum dicoccoides
Lineage: Eukaryota; Viridiplantae; Streptophyta; Magnoliopsida; Poales; Poaceae
Exons: 3
Source: RefSeq, a predicted model, not a curated record